ACUAUGGAGAGUUUGAUCCUGGCUCAGGAUGAACGCUAGCGGGAGGCUUAAUACAUGCAAGUCGAGGGGUAACAGGGGCUUCGGCCCGCUGACGACCGGCGCACGGGUGAGUAACGCGUACGCGACCUACCUCCAAGAGAGGGAUAGCCCCGGGAAACUGGGAUUAAUACCUCAUGUGAUUAUAAGGCUGCAUGGCUUUAUAAUUAAAGUUCAGGCGCUUGGAGAUGGGCGUGCGUCCCAUUAGCUAGUUGG
This 252-nucleotide ribosomal RNA is filed under the name Phaeodactylibacter sp. RNAcentral describes it as "partial 16S ribosomal RNA". It matches the Rfam family "Bacterial small subunit ribosomal RNA", at positions 1 to 252 of the family's 1533-position model. Lineage: Bacteria; Pseudomonadati; Bacteroidota; Saprospiria; Saprospirales; Haliscomenobacteraceae. The record is from RNAcentral.